Molecule: non-coding RNA, 203 nt
Organism: Kogia breviceps (pygmy sperm whale)
Lineage: Eukaryota; Metazoa; Chordata; Mammalia; Artiodactyla; Physeteridae
Source: RefSeq, a predicted model, not a curated record
UUCAACCAACCAACAGCAGAUCAAAAAUAUUUUGGGGGAAAAAAACUCCAGAAUGUUCCAAAAAGCAAAACUUGAAUUUGCUGAGUGAUGACAAUCUUCUUAUCUUCUUUGAAGCCAUCCAACGAUUGGGGUAUGUAUUAGAAUGAUGACCUUUUCUAAACUACCUCGUGCACUUAAUCCAUUAUACGAAUGUACACUAUUCC